RNAcentral lists this ribosomal RNA (481 nucleotides) under uncultured bacterium. RNAcentral's name for it is "bacterial SSU rRNA". It matches the Rfam family "Bacterial small subunit ribosomal RNA", at positions 28 to 507 of the family's 1533-position model. The record is from RNAcentral.
GAUGAACGCUAGCGGCAGGCUUAACACAUGCAAGUCGAGGGGUAGAAGCAGCUUGCUGCUUUGAGACCGGCGCACCGGUGCGUAACGCGUAUGCAAUCUACCUUUUACAGAGGGAUAGCCCAGAGAAAUUUGGAUUAAUACCUCAUAGUAUGUGAGAAUCGCAUGGUUUUCACAUUAAAGUUCCAACGGUAAAGAUGAGCAUGCGUCCCAUUAGCUAGAUGGUAAGGUAACGGCUUACCAUGGCGACGAUGGGUAGGGGUCCUGAGAGGGAGAUCCCCCACACUGGUACUGAGACACGGACCAGACUCCUACGGGAGGCAGCAGUGAGGAAUAUUGGACAAUGGGCGCAAGCCUGAUCCAGCCAUGCCGCGUGCAGGAUGACGGUCCUAUGGAUUGUAAACUGCUUUUGUACAGGAAGAAACACUCCCCUCGUGAGGGGAGCUUGACGGUACUGUAAGAAUAAGGAUCGGCUAACUCCGUG